GUGGAUGUAGCUCAGUUGGUUAGAGCGCUGGUUUGUGGUACCAGAGGUCGUGGGUUCGAGACCCAUCUUCCACCC
RNAcentral lists this transfer RNA (75 nucleotides) under Psychroflexus salis. RNAcentral describes it as "tRNA-His". It matches the Rfam family "tRNA". Rfam says of the family: Transfer RNA (tRNA) molecules are approximately 80 nucleotides in length. Their secondary structure includes four short double-helical elements and three loops (D, anti-codon, and T loops). Lineage: Bacteria; Pseudomonadati; Bacteroidota; Flavobacteriia; Flavobacteriales; Flavobacteriaceae. The record is from RNAcentral. RNAcentral also lists the same sequence under 1 other name.